GCUCUUCAAAAACUAACUGUUGGGGCUUAUAUUGGAAAGGCUGGGCAACCGGCUAUGGCAAUAAACGGCUUCGUAAUAAGCGGCCCGGACCCGGGGGCGGUACCCGGCGCCUCCACCACAAGCCCAUUCUCAAGGAAUGGGUUUCUGUGGGGGCGAAACAGGAUCGACGGACGUGUAAAGGCUGUCCUUUUGCUCGGUAUGGUUCCGCCGUUAUCGGGCUAAUCGUAUAAGUGCCAACGAUAACGAAAUGGUACUCGCUGCCUAAUUGAUUAGGUAAGCGCGGUUCGGGGAGCACCGGGCAACAGAAGCUCCCCACU
This 317-nucleotide transfer-messenger RNA is filed under the name Alphaproteobacteria bacterium. It matches the Rfam family "Alphaproteobacteria transfer-messenger RNA". From Rfam's summary of the family: Bacterial tmRNA, also known as 10Sa RNA or SsrA, is named for its dual tRNA and mRNA-like properties. Lineage: Bacteria; Pseudomonadati; Pseudomonadota; Alphaproteobacteria. The record is from RNAcentral.